AGAUAUGAUCCAGAGUACCACGGGACACGUGAAACCCUGUGGGAAGCAGGAGGGACCACCCUCCAAGGCUAAAUACUACCUAGUGACCGAUAGCGUAUAGUACCGUGAGGGAAAGGUGAAAAGAACCCCGGGAGGGGAGUGAAAUAGAACCUGAAACCCUGCACUUACAAGCUGUGGAAGCACAUUUCUUGUGUGACCGCGUACUUUUUGUAGAACGGGCCAACGAGUUACGUUAAGUAGCAAGGUUAAGCACUUAAGGUGCGGAGCCGUAGCGAAAGCGAGUUUUAACUGAGCGUUCAGUUACUUGACGUAGACCCGAAACCGGGCGACCUACCCAUGAGCAGGAUGAAGCGAAAGUAAAAUUUCGUGGAGGUCCGAACCCACGAGCGUUGAAAAGCUCGGGGAUGACUUGUGGGUAGCGGUGAAAUUCCAAUCGAGCCCGGAGAUAGCUGGUUCUCCCCGAAAUAGCUUUAGGGCUAGCCUCAAGGUGAGAGAUACGGAGGUAGAGCACUGAAUGUCCUAGGGGGUAUUGCACCUACCGAAGACUAUCAAACUCCGAAUGCCGUCAUCUUAUACUUGGGAGUCAGACUGUGGGUGAUAAGAUUCAUAGUCGAAAGGGCAACAGCCCAGAUCGUCAGCUAAGGUCCCUAAAUGUAAGUUAAGUGGUAAAGGAUGUGGGAUUGCACAGACAACCAGGAUGUUGGCUUAGAAGCAGCCACUCAUUCAAAGAGUGCGUAAUAGCUCACUGGUCGAGUGAUCCUGCGCCGAAGAUUUCCGGGGCUAAAACUUACUACCGAAGCUACGGCAUCAGUAAUGAUGGGUAGGGGAGCUUCCCAUACGGGUUGAAGCAUGACCGUAAGGACAUGUGGACAGUAUGGGAGUGAGAAUGUUGGCAUGAGUAGCGAGAUGUGGGUGAGAAUCCCACAGGCCGUAAACCCAAGGUUUCCAGGGGAAGGUUCGUCCGCCCUGGGUUAGUCGGGACCUAAGCUGAGGCCGAAAGGCGUAGGUGAUGGACAACAGGUUGAUAUUCCUGUACUACCGAUAACCGUUUGAGAGAAGGGAUGACACAGUAGGAUAAGCUAAGCACACUGUUGGUUAUGUGUGCCCAAGCAUUGAGGCAGUCAAAGUAGGCAAAUCCGCUUUGAUAAUGCUGGGAUGUGAUGGGGAGCGAAAUUUAGUAGCGAAGUAGCUGAUUUCACACUGUCAAGAAAAGUCUCUAUCGAGGUUAAAGGUACCCGUACCGCAAACCGACACAGGUGGGUGAGGAGAGUAUCCUAAGGCCAGCGAGAGAACUGUUGUUAAGGAACUCGGCAAAAUGACCCCGUAACUUAGGGAUAAGGGGUGCCACCAUCAGGUGGCCGCAGAGAAUAGGCCCAAGCGACUGUUUACCAAAAACAUAGGUUUCUGCUAAGUCGCAAGACGAUGUAUAGGAGCUGACGCCUGCCCGGUGCUGGAAGGUUAAGGGGAUCUGUUAGAGCAAUCGAAGCAGUGAACUUAAGCCCCAGUAAACGGCGGCCGUAACUAUAACGGUCCUAAGGUAGCGAAAUUCCUUGUCGGGUAAGUUCCGACCCGCACGAAAGGCGUAACGAUUUGGGCACUGUCUCAACAACAGACUCGGUGAAAUUGUAAUUCCGGUGAAGAUGCCGGAUACCUGCGACAGGACGGAAAGACCCCAUGGAGCUUUACUGUAGCUUGACAUUGGGUCUUGGUACUACAUGUACAGGAUAGGUGGGAGGCUUUGAAACCAGGACGCCAGUUUUGGCGGAGCCAUCCUUGGGAUACCACCCUUGUAGUACUGGGACUCUAACCAUAGGCCAUGAAUCUGGUCUUGGGACACUGUCAGG
This 1844-nucleotide ribosomal RNA is filed under the name Clostridioides difficile. RNAcentral's name for it is "partial 23S ribosomal RNA". It matches the Rfam family "Bacterial large subunit ribosomal RNA", at positions 398 to 2261 of the family's 2925-position model. Lineage: Bacteria; Bacillati; Bacillota; Clostridia; Peptostreptococcales; Peptostreptococcaceae. The record is from RNAcentral.